Molecule: transfer RNA, 70 nt
Filed under: Acanthopleura vaillantii
Lineage: Eukaryota; Metazoa; Mollusca; Polyplacophora; Chitonida; Chitonidae
Description: tRNA-Gln
Source: RNAcentral
UAAAAAGUGGUGUAUAUAAGCUCACGGGACUUUGAUUCCUGAGGAAAAAAUUGAACAUUUUUCUUUUUAA